CCAUAGCAAACUCCGAAUACCGAAGAGUGCAAUCACGGGAGACAGACAUCGGGUGCUAACGUCCGGUGUCAAGAGGGAAACAACCCAGACCGCCAGCUAAGGUCCCCAAAUAUUGCUAAGUGGGAAACGAAGUGGGAAGGCUAAAACAGUCAGGAGGUUGGCUUAGAAGCAGCCAUCCUUUAAAGAAAGCGUAAUAGCUCACUGAUCGAGUCGUCCUGCGCGGAAGAUGUAACGGGGCUAAGCAAUAUACCGAAGCUGCGGAUGCACAUUUAUGUGCAUGGUAGGAGAGCGUUCCGUAAGCCUGCGAAGGUGCAUUGAAAAGUGUGCUGGAGGUAUCGGAAGUGCGAAUGCUGACAUGAGUAGCGAUAAAGGGGGUGAAAGGCCCCCUCGCCGUAAGCCCAAGGUUUCCUACGCAACGUUCAUCGGCGUAGGGUGAGUCGGCCCCUAAGGCGAGGCAGAAAUGCGUAGCUGAUGGGAAGC
RNAcentral lists this ribosomal RNA (480 nucleotides) under uncultured Burkholderiaceae bacterium. Its description in RNAcentral is "bacterial LSU rRNA". It matches the Rfam family "Bacterial large subunit ribosomal RNA", at positions 944 to 1426 of the family's 2925-position model. Lineage: Bacteria; Pseudomonadati; Pseudomonadota; Betaproteobacteria; Burkholderiales; Burkholderiaceae. The record is from RNAcentral.